Molecule: ribosomal RNA, 466 nt
Filed under: uncultured bacterium
Lineage: Bacteria
Description: partial 16S ribosomal RNA
Rfam family: Bacterial small subunit ribosomal RNA
Source: RNAcentral
CGAACGCUGGCGGCGUGCUUAACACAUGCAAGUCGAACGGAAAGGCCCUGCUUUUGUGGGGUGCUCGAGUGGCGAACGGGUGAGUAACACGUGAGUAACCUGCCCUUGACUUUGGGAUAACUUCAGGAAACUGGGGCUAAUACCGGAUAGGAGCUCCUGCUGCAUGGUGGGGGUUGGAAAGUUUCGGCGGUUGGGGAUGGACUCGCGGCUUAUCAGCUUGUUGGUGGGGUAGUGGCUUACCAAGGCUUUGACGGGUAGCCGGCCUGAGAGGGUGACCGGCCACAUUGGGACUGAGAUACGGCCCAGACUCCUACGGGAGGCAGCAGUGGGGAAUAUUGCACAAUGGGCGGAGGCCUGAUGCAGCAACGCCGCGUGCGGGAUGACGGCCUUCGGGUUGUAAACCGCUUUCGCCUGUGACGAAGCGUGAGUGACGGUAAUGGGUAAAGAAGCACCGGCUAACUACGUG